This is a long non-coding RNA of Manduca sexta (tobacco hornworm), 270 nucleotides long. RefSeq lists it as uncharacterized. The record is from RefSeq and is a predicted model, not a curated record. Lineage: Eukaryota; Metazoa; Arthropoda; Insecta; Lepidoptera; Sphingidae. The transcript has 2 exons.
UGUUAGUCUAUGACGUGUCCAUUUGUAAAACGUCAUUGAUGUCCGAUAAACUGGAAUUUACGAGAGAUCUACAGAUAUUCCACUAAAAUUUCUUAGAAAGAAAGACAAAAACGCGGUAUGUAUCCUGCUGCUGCGAGGCGGACCACUAAUGAACCAGCUACUCUAUUCCUCCUCAACAGUUAGUUACAUGAUGCUGAGAAUUAUUUGACUCAAAUAUACUUUAAUUCUCAAUUAAAAACCCGAAAUAUACAAGUAUAAAUUAUGUAAACA